This 460-nucleotide ribosomal RNA is filed under the name uncultured bacterium. RNAcentral describes it as "partial 16S ribosomal RNA". It matches the Rfam family "Bacterial small subunit ribosomal RNA", at positions 338 to 795 of the family's 1533-position model. The record is from RNAcentral.
CCUACGGGAGGCAGCAGUGAGGAAUAUUGGUCAAUGGACGGAAGUCUGAACCAGCCAUGCCGCGUGCAGGAAGACGGCUCUAUGAGUUGUAAACUGCUUUUGUACAAGGGUAAACCUGAAUACGUGUAUUCAGCUGAAAGUACUGUACGAAUAAGGAUCGGCUAACUCCGUGCCAGCAGCCGCGGUAAUACGGAGGAUCCAAGCGUUAUCCGGAUUUAUUGGGUUUAAAGGGUGCGUAGGCGGGUUGAUAAGUUAGAGGUGAAAUGUCCGGGCUUAACUCGGGAACUGCCUCUAAUACUGGUGGUCUAGAGAGUGAAUGCGGUAGGCGGAAUGUAUGGUGUAGCGGUGAAAUGCUUAGAGAUCAUACAGAACACCGAUUGCGAAGGCAGCUUACCAAUCUAUAUCUGACGUUGAGGCACGAAAGCGUGGGGAGCAAACAGGAUUAGAUACCCUUGUAGUC